UACGUAGGGACCAAGCGUUGUCCGGAAUCAUUGGGCGUAAAGAGCGUGUAGGCGGCUUGUUAAGUCUUGCGUGAAAAUCUCGGGGCUCACCCCGAGCGGUCGUGAGAAACUGGCAGGCUAGAGUGCGGGAGAGGAGAGUGGAAUUCCUGGUGUAGCGGUGAAAUGCGCAGAUAUCAGGAAGAACACCCGUGGCGAAGGCGGCUCUCUGGAACGCAACUGACACUGAGACGCGAAAGCGUGGGGAGCAAACAGG
Molecule: ribosomal RNA, 253 nt
Filed under: uncultured bacterium
Lineage: Bacteria
Description: partial 16S ribosomal RNA
Rfam family: Bacterial small subunit ribosomal RNA
Source: RNAcentral